GAUGAACGCUGGCGGCGUGCCUAAUACAUGCAAGUCGAGCGAACAGACGAGGAGCUUGCUCCUCUGACGUUAGCGGCGGACGGGUGAGUAACACGUGGAUAACCUACCUAUAAGACUGGGAUAACUUCGGGAAACCGGAGCUAAUACCGGAUAAUAUAUUGAACCGCAUGGUUCAAUAGUGAAAGACGGUUUUGCUGUCACUUAUAGAUGGAUCCGCGCCGCCUUAGCUAGUUGGUAAGGUAACGGCUUACCAAGGCGACGAUGCGUAGCCGACCUGAGAGGGUGAUCGGCCACACUGGAACUGAGACACGGUCCAGACUCCUACGGGAGGCAGCAGUAGGGAAUCUUCCGCAAAGGGCGAAAGCCUGACGGAGCAACGCCGCGUGAGUGAUGAAGGUCUUCGGAUCGUAAAACUCUGUUAUUAGGGAAGAACAAAUGUGUAAGUAACUAUGCACGUCUUGACGGUACCUAAUCAGAAAGCCACGGCUAACUACGUG
This 497-nucleotide ribosomal RNA is filed under the name uncultured bacterium. RNAcentral describes it as "partial 16S ribosomal RNA". It matches the Rfam family "Bacterial small subunit ribosomal RNA", at positions 28 to 507 of the family's 1533-position model. The record is from RNAcentral.